Molecule: long non-coding RNA, 579 nt
Organism: Prinia subflava (tawny-flanked prinia)
Lineage: Eukaryota; Metazoa; Chordata; Aves; Passeriformes; Cisticolidae
Exons: 4
Source: RefSeq, a predicted model, not a curated record
AGGAAGUAAAGCUGGGUAUUGGCAGUAAAGGUCAAUGGAGCAAGUUGGUUCACUUGCCGGAUGUCCCAGCCCUGGAUGCCAGAGGCCAGAUGGGUGUAAGCUUAAGGUGCUGCUGCUGCCCUAGGUGUGCCGAGGAAUGUGGGAGAGCAGGUACCCUGUGGAGGUGCGGAGCCCGAGUUUGGAUAUGGCAGCACUGAAGCAGAUGCAGAGAAUGUCUCAACGUUCGUGAUGCCGACACGUUCUUUUCCAUCAAGAACAGAUUUUGUCUACUCAUCUCCUGAAAGAUAAGUGUUGGGGCUGGUGGUCAGGAGAAGAGGAAAAACCUUUUCCAUCCUCCUUUUCCAUUCUAGGAGGCAAUUUAAAGUUAGCUUAGAUGAGAGGGUCCUAGAGGGAUGGACCAUUCGUGAGUAAAGGGAGAGCAUUUCUUCUCAGCCUCGUUGGAGCCUUCCCUGGCCAGGGCAGUUCUGCCCCCUCUCCAUGUUCUAGAGAGCUUUGUGGUGUCAGCUAUCUUCAAGAGUCCACAGGGUUAGGGUGCACCAGGGGAUGCCUGGCCCACCCUGGGAUCCAUGUCCUAGGAGG